Molecule: long non-coding RNA, 1008 nt
Organism: Elaeis guineensis (African oil palm)
Lineage: Eukaryota; Viridiplantae; Streptophyta; Magnoliopsida; Arecales; Arecaceae
Source: RefSeq, a predicted model, not a curated record
CCCAAUAUCAGCUCACGGGAUUCCGGUAAACCCGACCCAAAUCAUGUCACAUCCGGUACCCGUUUACAGCUGCUUGGUCCGCGCCUCCGCAUCGAACCGCUCGCCUGGAUCCGCUCUCAGGCGAUCAAGCGAAGGGCAUUAAAUAUUAUGGCAGGCGAUUAAGCGAAUGGCAUUAAAUAUUAUGGCAGGCUUGGAGGCUCCCGUUUGUUGAUGAUGCUUGGACGAGCUGCUCUCCUCUUCGCCGUUACGUGAGAUCGGUUAGUGGGAUUCUUGGAUUGCAAGUUGCAACCCACCCAUUCCCUCGCUCGUAGGAAUGGAAAUCUGAGUGUUACCACCAGAAGAAGCUUAUUGACGUUGAGUGGAAUCUUAUGCAUGCUGGAAGACCAUGGAGAAAAUGCAGCAAGCAAACUGAGACUAGGCAAGGAUGUUCAGCAUGUGGUUGAGCAGUGGAAAUUUCCUCUUGUUGUCGAAGAGCUAGAGGAAUUUGAAGGAAGGAGGAAAAAGUGAUCGCUGUCAAAGGGAGAGUUGUUUGAAUUGGCCACCACAUGUAAGAAAGUCUACGAAGAUGAGUUUGAUCAUAUAGAUGACUCCCAUGUAAAAAUCCAGAAGUGCAAACUGAUGCUGAUGAGGAAGACAACAAGGAUAUGCAAAUCAAACGCGAUGAUGCAGGGUCUGACAGUAAUCAGACGAUUGAAAUGAUCAAAGAAGAAAUAGAUUUUGCUGGCAAAAAUCUUCUGGGAAUUAUGAAUAGUAAGAAAGUCGGGAAAAAAGAUAUUAUUCAAAGAGGAUCAAGCUAGGUGGAAGUCCGCUAGUAUCUUUCUUAAUGCCAUUUUAUUUUGUUUAGCUGUGUUGCCAUUUUCCAAGUUGCAAAGAAGGGGAUGAAUAUGGUAACGAUUUUUAGUUUAAGUUGUUUUUUCACUGAUGGGUACAGGUGUUAAUAUUCCCAAUAGAUUGUGACAACAUUGUAGGUGAUGAAUUUUCAACGUAUCAUCUGGCUGUCACUUCCUA